This 103-nucleotide microRNA precursor is filed under the name Pteropus vampyrus (large flying fox). RNAcentral describes it as "miRNA (ENSPVAG00000025377.1)". The record is from RNAcentral. Lineage: Eukaryota; Metazoa; Chordata; Mammalia; Chiroptera; Pteropodidae.
UAAAAGUGUACUCUGAGGACCAUGACGAGAGUCUCUAUGUAUGGAGGUGGGGUCCAGGAAUCUGCAUUUUAACACAUACCUCGGGUGAUUCUGAUUCAGGUGG